AGAGUUUGAUUCUGGCUCAGAACGAACGCUGGCAGCGUGGAUGAGGCAUGCAAGUCGAACGGGAUCCAGGGUGUAGCAAUACAACCUGGUGAGAGUGGCGUAAGGGUGAGGACAACGUGGGUAACCUACCCUGAAGUUGGGGAUAACCCGCCGAAAGGUGGGCUAAUACCGGAUACGGUUUUCUCUCGCAUGAGAGGAGGACCAAAGGCGGGGACUCUUCGGAACCUGUCGCUUCAGGAGGGGCCCGCGUCCCAUCAGCUAGUUGGUGAGGUAAUGGCUCACCAAGGCUUACGGGUAGCUGGUCUGAGAGGAUGGUCAGCCACACUGGGACUGAGACACUGCCCAGACUCCUACGGGAGGCUGCAGUCGAGGAUCAUUUGCAAUGGGCGAAAGCCUGACAGUGCGACGCUGCGUGGAGGAUGAAGGCCUUCGGGUCGUAAACUCCUGUCAUUCGGGAACAAUAGCAGGGGAGUUAAUAUUUCCUCUGUUUGAUGGUACCGGAAGAGGAAGCCACGGCUAACUCUGUGCCAGCAGCCGCGGUAAUACAGAGGUGGCGAGCGUUGUUCGGAUUUACUGGGCGUAAAGGGUGCGUAGGCGGCCUCGUGUGUCGGAUGUGAAAUCCCACUGCUCAACGGUGGAACUGCAUCCGAAACUGCGGGGCUAGAGUACAGUAGGGGAGAGCGGAAUUCUUGGUGUAGCGGUGAAAUGCGUUGAUAUCAAGAAGAACACCGGUGGCGAAGGCGGCUCUCUGGAAUGUAACUGACGCUGAGGCACGAAAGCUGGGGGAGCAAACAGGAUUAGAUACCCUGGUAGUCCCAGCCCUAAACGGUGUGCACUUGGUGUGGGGAGAUUUGACCCUCUCCGUGCCGUAGUUAACACGAUAAGUGCACCGCCUGGGGAGUACGGCCGCAAGGUUAAAACUCAAAGAAAUUGACGGGGGCCCGCACAAGCGGAGGAGCAUGUGGCUUAAUUCGAUCCACGCGAAGAACCUUACCUGGGCUUGACAUGCAGCUGCAGUCCCGAUGAAAGUUGGGAUGCCUUCGAGGGUGCUGCACAGGUGCUGCAUGGCUGUCGUCAGUUCGUGCCGUGAGGUGUUUGGUUAAGUCCAGCAACGAACGCAACCCCUGUGUCUAGUUGCCACCCCCGGUGAUGAAUCGGGGAGCACUUUAGACAGACUGCCCGUGUAAGCGGGAGGAAGGUGGGGAUGACGUCAAGUCAGUAUGGCCCUUACGCCCAGGGCUGCACACGUGCUACAAUGGGAGUUACAGAAGGAUGCAAGACCGCGAGGUGGAGCAAAUCCUGAAAAGCUUCCUCAGUUCAGAUUGAAGUCUGCAACUCGACUUCAAGAAGUCGGAUUCGCUAGUAACGGCGUAUCAGCUACGACGCCGUGAAUACGUUCCCGGGCCUUGUACACACCGCCCGUCACAUCAUGAAAGCCGUCUGCACCCGAAGUCACUGUCUCAACCCGCAAGGGGGAUAGGUGCCGAAGGUGUGGGUGGUGAUUGGGAUCAAGUCGGAACAAGGUA
This 1526-nucleotide ribosomal RNA is filed under the name metagenome. RNAcentral describes it as "bacterial SSU rRNA". It matches the Rfam family "Bacterial small subunit ribosomal RNA". The record is from RNAcentral.